Molecule: non-coding RNA, 121 nt
Organism: Acetobacterium wieringae
Lineage: Bacteria; Bacillati; Bacillota; Clostridia; Eubacteriales; Eubacteriaceae
Source: Rfam
UGUAAAAGACGCAUUCAUCCAUAGACAGUAGGUUUGUAAAUCCUACCGAGGUUGAAGAGAUAAACGCUUAUGAAUAAUAAAGCUCUCUUCACGCUGUGGAGUGAGCUUUUUUGAUACGAUU